Orbicella faveolata is the source of this 103-nucleotide long non-coding RNA. Lineage: Eukaryota; Metazoa; Cnidaria; Anthozoa; Scleractinia; Merulinidae. The record is from RefSeq and is a predicted model, not a curated record.
CAUUCAUUGGUUUUCAAGAAACUAGAUGUUGAAAGGUCGCUCCCUUCAAUCCCAAUUCCACCUUCUCCACCAACUGAGCUCAAAAACAGCCCUCCAAUUUUUU